UUCUUGACUCUCCUUCAUAAUUUCACAUCUUUUGAUUAAGUUUUGAAUCCAUUCACUUAACAUGAAUAAUUCAAUUAUUUGUAUUUGACUAUGACCAUUAUGGUUUAAGUCAAUUGUCGAGUUAAUGGAAUAUGAACCAUAUUUGAUGUUGGUUCAAGUUAUGAGGGAAGUGAAAUCUCAAACUAUUUUGAAAAACUUGAAAAAUUGAGAU
Molecule: long non-coding RNA, 211 nt
Filed under: Lathyrus oleraceus (garden pea)
Lineage: Eukaryota; Viridiplantae; Streptophyta; Magnoliopsida; Fabales; Fabaceae
Description: Pisum sativum (pea) long non-coding RNA (PSAT_LNC031540)
Source: RNAcentral